RNAcentral lists this ribosomal RNA (254 nucleotides) under uncultured bacterium. RNAcentral describes it as "partial 16S ribosomal RNA". It matches the Rfam family "Bacterial small subunit ribosomal RNA", at positions 524 to 776 of the family's 1533-position model. The record is from RNAcentral.
UACGUAGGGUGCGAGCGUUAAUCGGAAUUACUGGGCGUAAAGCGUGCGCAGGCGGUUAUUUAAGUCAGGUGUGAAAGCCCUGGGCUUAACCUAGGAGUUGCGCUUGAGACUGGAUAGCUUGGAGUGCGGCAGAGGGAGGUGGAAUUCCACGUGUAGCAGUGAAAUGCGUAGAGAUGUGGAGGAACACCGAUGGCGAAGGCAGCCUCCUGGGCCAGCACUGACGCUCAUGCACGAAAGCGUGGGGAGCAAACAGG